Perca fluviatilis (European perch) is the source of this 150-nucleotide long non-coding RNA. RefSeq lists it as uncharacterized. NCBI's taxonomy places the organism in Eukaryota, Metazoa, Chordata, Actinopteri, Perciformes, Percidae. The transcript has 3 exons. The record is from RefSeq and is a predicted model, not a curated record.
UACAUCCUCAACAACACAUGCACUGGAGCCGAGCACUCGUCCGGAGCCCGACCGGAGACUUCCAGCACGCACAGAUCCACUCAGACCAAACAGGAGCAGGAGGAGCCCGAGAAGCCCUUUGUCCCGGCCGUCACCAUUAAAGACGAACAC